Molecule: RNA transcript, 6801 nt
Organism: Mya arenaria
Lineage: Eukaryota; Metazoa; Mollusca; Bivalvia; Myida; Myidae
Gene name: wolframin-like
Exons: 3
Source: RefSeq, a predicted model, not a curated record
GAGCAUGAUCCAUUUUAUGAUAAAUUUUAUCUGUUUUUCAAAGAAAUAAAGUUGAUUAAUUGCCAUAGCCUAGUUGGUGUCGGCUAUUCUUGCAGUCAUGCAAAACUAAAGGAAUCUUGGACCGUAAUAAGAAGACAUCUUAAAGAUGCACUCUUACUCCCAAGUACCACAAUUCAUACAAUUGUUUUAAUAUACCAAAAAGUAUUAACAUGUCGAAAAGAAUGUUUCUUAUGAAGAAUACCGAAUUUAAUUUGAAAGGUGCAGAAAACACGGAUUUUCUACCUUAUGAGACAAUAAAAGAUCAAAGUAUAUAUUUUAAAACUCACCAAUCAUUUAAUUGUUUUGGGUUUUCUGCCAUUAAAUUCACGGUUAAAAUCUUGUUAUCUUUAAUUAAUAUUUUCCAUAAUUGCAUUAUUAAGUAAGAAGUUUUGGGUUUAAGGUUUAUUACUCAAAAUGUAUGUUUGUUAAACAUGUGUAUGUAUUGAUUUUGAAUAAGAGUGUACCUUUAAGUCAUUUCCUAACUUAUUUCUUUCUUAAUUUAAGUUUCUCACUUUUCGUAAUAAUGAUAUAAUUGCUUCAUGAUAUUUGGAAUAAUUUCAUUGAUUUUUUCACAAAACUAUUCUUUUAUGCAACUUUCUUGAUACUUUUCUUUUAAUUGGACAUACAAAAUUGUAGGACAUUGAUCAAAGUUAAGAAAUUUGUAUUAUUGUAAGGUAUUUGCUUCCUGAUUCCUAUGGUAAAUGAAUGACUAAAGUAUGUUAAACAUUAAGCUAUCACAGUGUUUAUAUAAAUAUAAAAGAAACUUAUCAAGAAAAUAGCAUAAAACACAGUUUUGUAAUCAAAUCAAUGAAGUUAUUUUGUUUCAACCGAAAAAGAGUGUAUCAUGAUCUAUUUUACAUUUUUGCACACAUAAACCGUUCAAAAAGGCAUCAAAAAUUGUUUGUUUCAGGUUUCCCGACCUACCAUAUUGUUGGUCCUGAUACUAAGACUUUUUUUCUUGAGAAAUAGUUUUCAUUCAUUGGUUUGAUUAUUUUUCUUUUAAAAGUUAACCAUAAAGUGUUUUGGGCUUUUAACAAAAUCAGUGAUACUUAUACUGAUUGACUAGAAUCAUUAGAUGUUCUUAAGAAUAUAACUUAUAGUUGUUGGAAACAGAAAAAUCCCAAUAAGUAAACUGUCAAAUAAAUCGACCUCCCUACCCUAUAAAUCUUUUAAAAAAACUCAACUCAAGCAAGGUACACAUAUAAAUGAUGACUAUGAUCAUGUGUUUAGCAAUUAAGAUUAUUUUGACUUAACUUUUGGCUUUUUCUGUUUUAUACAAACUUGUUUCUUAUAAUGUCAGUUAACAAAUUUCCAAAGUCAGUUGAUAUUCUAGCGGUCAAUUGACUGACUUAUCUCUGUAAAUCGGAAUAUGUACCAUUCAGUGUCACUCACCCACACGUAUCAACUUGGCCCUCACCAGCAACCAUUUGGAUAGACUUCGUAAAUAGACGCAUUGGAGAAACCAGAACUACUGUUGGAAAAGCAGUUUGCUUAGCGUUGGCCCAAUAAUUAAUACAGUAACUAUUGUAUUCUUUUGUAAAGACUAGCUCAACUCAAGUCAUUUGAAUAAUUUCAAUUUAAUGUGUUGUAGGGAAGAAGAUGGGAGACACCAUAUCAGAGACGGAGUUUGUGAAGCUUAUGUCGCAGCAAAUACAGGGCACUGUGACCUUGACUGAUUCAGAGAGGUCAGCGGCAUUUCAAGCUGCGAGUCUUGGGGAAAAGAUUACAAAGUACCCCAAAGAGUCAGCUGCUGUCUCUGGCGAAUUUGCCCUGGAGUAUGCGUCACGUAAUGGGCUCCGCAUGGUUUUUGGAUGUAUACCCGUUGAUCAAAUCAACUUCUUGAUCCUAUUCUUCAUUUCUGGCUACAUAUCGAAGACAUUUUUACAAUUCAUCCUGCCAUUGGGAAUGUUUUACAUAUCGUAUGCAACAAUUAUCAUCACAACAAUACAAAUACUCCAUAAGAAAAUGAAGCUCAAGGAAUCCUCAGAUUUUGCCAAAAUGUUACAUCAUUAUUACGAUCGUGUCGACGUUGAUCAAACUCAGUCUCAAUACGCGUGGAAUUCUCUUCCACUAUAUCUUGGGUAUUUGGUGGCUAUGUGUUGUGUUGUGACAAGUUUUUCAUUGGCUGACAAAAUGUAUAUUCCCUGCUCGGAGCUGUGUGUUCUAAACUCCGUGAUCUGCGGCAUUUGUUUUGUAUACAUCAGCGACAGUCAUGCUCGUGUUACCUUGCUAUUCCUCUUCUUUCUUUCAAGGUUGCCAGUUUUCCUCCAGAAUUUCCCAAACGUCCCAGUAUUGACAUCCAUUAUCGAUGUCUUGUCAGGAAAUAUAUUUUCUGUAGAUCUGUACGCUGGCUUGACACUCAAUGUUGGCAUACCAUCUAUUUGUUACAGUCUGAUUCCUGUGUUCUUCAUUCAAAUGGCGAGAGAGUCUGGGGUGAGCCGGUUAGCUAUACCGCAUCUGGUGUGCUAUUUCUGGUUUGAGUUAAUUACAAAGAUGUACCCUUUCACGACAUGGUUUGGCUUAGCUUAUUUCUUCAUCGAAAUGCCUUCGUCAGACAUGUUCGGAAAGAUUGUUAUUACGCUUUUGAUUGCUGGUAUUACGAUUGUGCUCUCCCUAAUAAAGAAAUUCGUGGGUGGUAAGUUUGCAAUUCUGGCUAUAACUACUCUGAUAUUUGUUAAAGUUUUACCCACUGAAGUAGCCCAACAUGGACAACUGUCUUCAGAGAGGUUUACGUCUGUUUGCGACGCAGAUAUGGAGAGUUUUAUGAGCUGUCAUGCUCUAAAGGGUACAAACGUUGUUUGGAAUGGUACAGUGACAAACUUGAAAGUCACGUCUGUAACAAACGAGGUCAAUUCAAUGAUGGACAUUUUUCCGGUCUCCAAACCAUUAAGAGACAUUUACGGCAAACGUUAUGAUUGUGAUGAUGAAAAUUUAAAUGUUCAUGGAAAAGCUUUCUGUAGUCUGAUGGUUGACCUUGGCUAUCUGUUUGGCUUAGAAAGUUAUGACAAGUAUGCAUUUAACAUCGAAGUAGUACUUCCAAAUAACAUGAGUGCGGUUGUUGAUGCCGGGUCUAACUAUAAGAAGACAUUUCUGGCUCUUGAAGAAGGGGAUGAAUUGGAAAUCAAUGCUACUAUAGCUGAUGCUCUUGCGAGGCCCGUUAAACUCCAUCCCAAGAAACUUAAGUGCCUGAAUCGAGACAUAGGUGUUGAAGAGGGUGAAAAGGAUGAUGAGGAUUUGCAUUUUGAUAUGUUACAAGCGGCUUUCAGUGUGGCGUUCAAUUUCUUCUGGCAUCCUUUGGUAGAGUAUGUUCCUCGGACAACUAAAACGGAAUAAAUGACUGGAUAGAGUAUGGGUUUUUUCUGGGGAUUUAUAUGAACAAUUAAUUUUUCAUCUGAGACUUUAACUUGUUUCUUAUUGUAACACUACAAUUAGGUGCAGCCGAGUUUGAACGGCAGACUAUUUACAUCAUCGAAAAUAAUCGACUAUUAUGUAUGAUUUGAGCUCGGAAUAAUUGGUUUAAUUCUUGCAUUCUGCUGAGUGGUACAAAGUGAGUCUAGAAGAGUCUCUUUCGCAUACUAUUAUAAUGAAAUACAUUGUGGAUUAUGUUUCAGUGCUUGAUAGGUAACAGCAUAUUUUAAGGCAGGUAUUACAGGGGACAAGAUGUGUCCAAUUCUGCUUGUUCUUAUCUUGAAUUACGCUCUUGAUGCAAGUUGUGUAUUUCUCUUGUAUAAGAUUUAAAUGGUUAGAAAUAUAAAUCUCACAAGUAAGCGUAGAUGACCUGUUUAAUCAUUUAUAGGGAGUUGAAGAUUGCUAUCUAUUUAUAAUGACUUUCCGAUAGAACAAAAAUGGCGUCUGUCUCAAUGUUUCAAAGAUAAGAAUAUUGGUACAACACAUAUGAGCUGCAACGAGCAGAAAUAGAUCUUACAGUUUGACAUCAGCAGGCAUAACAAUGAUGUCAUAGUUUGAGUAAGCGUAAAUUACAAUGUAUGAUGUCAUAUUUUGAUGUAAGCGGAAAAUUACAAUGUAUGACGUCAUAUUUUGAUGUAAGCGGAAAAUUACAAUGUAUGAUAUCAUAUGUUGAUGUAAGCGGGAAUUACAAUGUAUGAUGUCAUAUUUUGAUGUAAGCGGAAAAUUACAAUGUGUGAUGUCAUAUUUUGAUGUAAGCGGAAAAUUACAAUGUAUGAUGUCAUAUUUUGAUGUAAGCGGAAAAUUAAAAUGUAUGAUGUCAUAUUUUGACGUAAGCGGAAAUUACAAUGUAUGAUGCCAUAGUUUGAUGUUAGCGGGAAUAACAAUUAUGAUGUCAUAGUUUAAAGUAAUAUCUCAACGACUUUAAGCCUGUUUUUUCGGUAACAAAAUAUAUCCCGUUACAACCAAUAAUGAUUUAUUACAAGAUUUGAUCGCACGAUACGGUCGUUGAUAAGAUGACCCCUGUAUUUAAAAUGAGUAUCUGUUAGAUGAUAUGAAAUAACUCUCAAUGAUUAAAAAUGGGAGGAAUGUGUGUAGCGAUCGAGCCUUUCUUAAACGUUAAGAUAUAACUUCAGGUCAUUUAACUGACUAAGAAUACAACCUCUUUGGCUGACACAUUAUCGACGUAAAAUCUUACGCAGGGAUAGUGUAUUAGAUGGGUGGCAUAAGGUGGACUAUUAAACACCGAACGUAGAUUUUUUUAAUGAUUAUUGAUAAUUAAACCUAAUACUUAAUGAUUGCCUAUCUGCAAUUUUAUUGGCUGAAAAUGUAGUUUGUAUUCCAAAAAACUAGAUUGAGUUUUUUGUUUUCUCAUCUGUGUUAGUAAGAUUAUUAUUGAUGUAACUUAUUUAUUUAAACUAAAUUGUAACAGUACACAUGUGUAACAUUUGUUUUGGACUUUUGUUUGCACUGUACUGGAACUAUAGUUAAAAUAUAAUCAAAUGCAUGAUAAUUUUAAUAAGAUUGAAGUGUAGGUUAUCACUCUAUUUGUUUUGUUAUCUUAUUUGAAGGUUGUGCCCCAGACUACAGUCUGUGAAAGAACAAGUUUUUGAAGAAUGUAUAUACUUAUUGAUAAAACAUUUCAUAGUAUUUAAAUAUAGACGUUUUAUAAAUGUGUCCAUUUGUUUUCUGUGUUAGUUUUUUAGCAUCACAUAUUUAUAUAUACUGAGUGUAUUUUGUUCACAAUAUGCAGUUAUGUAGUUUCUGUGAUAUAUUUCUUAAUACUCGUUUUCUACUAUUUGCAAAGGUUUUAUUUGCAAUUACAAGCAUAUUAUUUUUCUACAUGUGAUGACAUUGUUAUUUACUGAAAUCAUAUACUCUAUAUUGGUGUUGAUGUAUCAUAUUUUGUAGAUCUAGCAGGGGUAAGGGAUUGUUUGAGUGUAUAUUUGAAUUGUUACUAUACAAUAAUGAGUCGCGAAGCAUGACACGCAGAAAUUGAUAAUUAAGUUAAGAUGACGUAAGCAAACACUAUGACAUCGCAGUUUGUUGUUACUAAAUAUAAAUUGUGGUUCUCAGAGUGUGAACUUUAGUUAAACUUUAAUAAAAUGAGUGUUAAUUUUAACCUGCUAUAAAGUGUAGGUAAUCACUAUUUGUUUUGUUAUCUUAUUUGAAGGUGUGCCUCAGACAACAUUCUGUGAUAGAACAAAGUUUCGAAUAAUUUAUAUACUUAUAAAUAAAACAUUAAAAAGCAUUACAAUAAAGGCAUUUUAUAAAUUUGUCCAUUUGUUUUCUGUGUUAGUUUUUUAGCAUCACAUAAUUAUAUAUACUGAGUGUAUUUUGUUCACAAUAUGCAGUUAUGUAGUAUCUGUGAUAUAUUUCUUAAUACUCGUUUUCUACUAUUUGCAAAGGUUUUAUAUGCAGUUACAAGUAUAUUAUUUUUCUACAUGUGAUGACAUUGUUAUUUACUGAAAUCAUUUACUCUAUAUUGGUGUUGAUGUAUCAUAUUUUGUAGAUCUAGCAGGGGUAAGGGAUUGUUUGAGUGUAUAUUUGAAUUGUUACUAUACAAUAAUGAGUCGCGAAACAUGACACGCAGAAAUGGAUCAUAUAGUAAAUAUGAAGUAAGCAAACACAGUUUGUUGUUACUAAAUAUAGAGAAGUGGUUCCCAUAGUGUGAAAUUUAGUUAAAAUUUAAUAAAAGGAGUGUUAAUUUUAACAAGUUAUGAAGUGUAGGUAAUCACUCUAUUUGAUUUCUUAUCUGUUUUUGAAGGUUGUUGCUCCGACAACAUUAAGCAAUAGAACAAAAUUUCGAAUAAUUCAUAAAACUUUAAAAAGCAUUUGAAUGAAGAUAUUUUUUAUAAAUUUGCCGAUUUUUCACGUUAGUUUUUAGCAUUACGUAAUUAUAUAUACCGAGUGUAUUUUGUUCACAAUAUGCAAUGUAGUGUCUGAUAUAUUUGUUCUUUUUCUACUAUUUGCAAGGGUUUUUUAUGCAGUUGCAAGUAAAUUAUUUUUAUUAUGUGUAAUAUUUUACCACAUGUGAUCACAUUGUUAUUUACUAAAAUUAUAUACUCUAUGUUGAUGCUGGUGUAUCGUAUUAUGUAGAUCUAGCUGGGGUAGGGAUUGUUUAAAGAUUGUUGGGGUGUAUAUUUAAACUAUUACUAAAGAACAAUGAAUCGCGACACAUGACACGCAGAAAUGGAUCAUAAAAUAUAUAUAACGCAGGCAAACAGUUUGACACCACAGUUUAUUGUUACUAAAAAGGAACAGUGGUUCCCAUGAGGUAAUUUACAUUUUUUAUGAAACAUAUUUUAUAUUAUUUUCAAAAUUGAUAAAUCAAAAACUUAUUUUAUGACAUAUACC